RNAcentral lists this ribosomal RNA (1343 nucleotides) under uncultured bacterium. RNAcentral's name for it is "16S ribosomal RNA". It matches the Rfam family "Bacterial small subunit ribosomal RNA", at positions 28 to 1378 of the family's 1533-position model. The record is from RNAcentral.
GACGAACGCUGGCGGCGUGCUUAACACAUGCAAGUCGAACGGAAAGGCCCUGCUUUUGUGGGGUGCUCGAGUGGCGAACGGGUGAGUAACACGUGAGUAACCUGCCCUUGACUUUGGGAUAACUUCAGGAAACUGGGGCUAAUACCGGAUAGGAGCUCCUGCUGCAUGGUGGGGGUUGGAAAGUUUCGGCGGCUGGGGAUGGACUCGCGGCUUAUCAGCUUGUUGGUGGGGUAGUGGCUUACCAAGGCUUUGACGGGUAGCCGGCCUGAGAGGGUGACCGGCCACAUUGGGACUGAGAUACGGCCCAGACUCCUACGGGAGGCAGCAGUGGGGAAUAUUGCACAAUGGGCGGAAGCCUGAUGCAGCAACGCCGCGUGCGGGAUGACGGCCUUCGGGUUGUAAACCGCUUUCGCCUGUGACGAAGCGUGAGUGACGGUAAUGGGUAAAGAAGCACCGGCUAACUACGUGCCAGCAGCCGCGGUGAUACGUAGGGUGCGAGCGUUGUCCGGAUUUAUUGGGCGUAAAGGGCUCGUAGGUGGUUGAUCGCGUCGGAAGUGUAAUCUUGGGGCUUAACCCUGAGCGUGCUUUCGAUACGGGUUGACUUGAGGAAGGUAGGGGAGAAUGGAAUUCCUGGUGGAGCGGUGGAAUGCGCAGAUAUCAGGAGGAACACCAGUGGCGAAGGCGGUUCUCUGGGCCUUUCCUGACGCUGAGGAGCGAAAGCGUGGGGAGCGAACAGGCUUAGAUACCCUGGUAGUCCACGCUGUAAACGGUGGGUACUAGGUGUGGGGUCCAUUCCACGGGUUCCGUGCCGUAGCUAACGCUUUAAGUACCCCGCCUGGGGAGUACGGCCGCAAGGCUAAAACUCAAAGGAAUUGACGGGGCCCCGCACAAGCGGCGGAGCAUGCGGGUUAAUUCGAUGCAACGCGUAGAACCUUACCUGGGUUUGACAUGGAUCGGGAGUGCUCAGAGAUGGGUGUGCCUCUUUUGGGGUCGGUUCACAGGUGGUGCAUGGCUGUCGUCAGCUCGUGUCGUGAGACGUUGGGUUAAGUCCCGCAACGAGCGCAACCCUUGUUCACUGUUGCCAGCACGUUAUGGUGGGGACUCAGUGGAGACCGCCGGGGUCAACUCGGAGGAAGGUGGGGAUGACGUCAAGUCAUCAUGCCCCUUAUGUCCAGGGCUUCACGCAUGCUACAAUGGCUGGUACAGAGAGUGGCGAGCCUGUGAGGGUGAGCGAAUCUCGGAAAGCCGGUCUCAGUUCGGAUUGGGGUCUGCAACUCGACCUCAUGAAGUCGGAGUCGCUAGUAAUCGCAGAUCAGCAACGCUGCGGUGAAUAAGUUCCCGGG